UACGUAGGGGGCAAGCGUUGUCCGGAAUCAUUGGGCGUAAAGCGCGUGUAGGCGGCCCGGUAAGUCCGCUGUGAAAGUCGGGGGCUCAACCCUCGAAUGCCGGUGGAUACUGUCGGGCUAGAGUGCGGGAGAGGCGAGUGGAAUUCCUGGUGUAGCGGUGAAAUGCGUAGAUAUCUGGAGGAACACCGGUGGCGAAGGCGGCAUUCUGGACCAUUACUGACGCCGAGGAGCGAAAGCCAGGGGAGCAAACGGG
This 253-nucleotide ribosomal RNA is filed under the name uncultured bacterium. RNAcentral's name for it is "partial 16S ribosomal RNA". It matches the Rfam family "Bacterial small subunit ribosomal RNA", at positions 524 to 776 of the family's 1533-position model. The record is from RNAcentral.